Molecule: non-coding RNA, 4265 nt
Organism: Cricetulus griseus (Chinese hamster)
Lineage: Eukaryota; Metazoa; Chordata; Mammalia; Rodentia; Cricetidae
Source: RefSeq, a predicted model, not a curated record
GGCAGAAUAAGAAUGUGCAUAUGAACAAGAAUGAUAGAGCAAGGAGUGGAAGACAGAAGAGUAGUUUCAUCUUGUUGUGCCCCUCACAGGGGUUACUUGUGCCUCUCACCUCAAGCCCUGGCAGCAGUUCCUCUUCAAGACUCCACCAUCCACUUCACGAUUUUGGUGUAAAUUGCUGUUUCCCUGAAGAAUAUGCUGCAGAAGGACAAUGAAGAAAGGUCCACUGAUACAGCUCGAUAGCAAUUUUCCUUGCUGGAACCUUUACUUUUUGUGCUAAAAAUUCAAGCAUUUAACAUUUUUGUGGUAUAUGCGUACCUUUGUGUACAUGAAAACACAUAAUAUACCUAAAUAGUUUUGAUUGGGUGAAAUGAAAAUUAAUAAUACAAGCACAUUGUUUGAGUGUGCAAAUACAAUAUGCAAAACUUCUAAUGUCUACAUCAGAAAGUAAAGCAUGGGGGCUAGAGAGAUGCCUCGGGGGAUGAAGGGUUUGCUAUGCAAGCAUGAAGAGUGCCCCUCAUCUGUGAUGAGGUGUUGUAGAGCGCAGUACUGGGCAGGUCUUCUGUGAAUAGUCACAGCUGCUGUCAGUUCAUAGCAUGAUAGCUAUGUCAUGUACAAAAGCUUUAUUUUUUUUUUGCUGUGUAUCUCCUAUUUUCUGGAUCUUGUAUUCUUUCUGCCCUGUCCUUCAUGAAGUUUUUUGAGCUUUUAGGGGGUGAUGCAGCUGUCAUGCUUUGGAUCAAGGACUCAAUUGUCAUUUAUUCUCAGCACUUGGGGCUGGUGGUGUGUUUAUUAACUCACUGCCUUUUGUAGGAAGAACCUUGCUUGAUGAAGGCUGAGCAUAGCAUCAGUGUAUAGGUAUGAACUUAAAUACCUAGAAAGAAUUUUGAAAGCAUUACCAUUUAGUACAACAAUAGUAGUAAGUACUCCCGAGGACCAAUGAACUACUCAGCCAUGGCCUCUUCACAGAACCAGAUAGAAUUCUCUCCUAAAAUGCUAACCUCAAAUCCAAGGAGAACAUUGAUUGGCUAUCCCCAUAAUUGUCAUACUCUAUUGCACUUACAUGGCACAACCUUUCUGCAGAUGAUUGUUAUGGCUCACAGGAUUCACAGUUGGGUACAGUUAUCUGCUGAGCAUUCUGUGUGUCAUCUUUGGCAUAAGAAAUUAGACAGUAGGACAGAACCCUCUAGCUCAUACCCAGCUUGAUUCCUUUGGGUCCUGUCACCACAGUAUACAGUGUCUUCAAUGGGGUCUGAGCACCAAAUUCUGGCAGAUAACAAGAGGGAUGGCAAUAGCCUCUAGGAACUCCAUGACAACAACUCAUAGGGAGGCAUUCCACAAAUCAUUGUGAUUUAUGUUUAAUAUGUGUCCUGAGGGAACAUUAUCCAUCAAAGUCUUUUUAUACCAUUUAAAUAAGCUUAUUGACCAGCAGAUUCCACAUGGCAUUAUGAUAUGUACUGAGUUUGAUUUACCCCUUUUCCUCCCUAGAUGUUUAUAUUCUCACUAGUCCUUCCAUCCAUUUACAUGUGUGAAUCAUGUGACUGUACAAUUCCCUCCCUCUAAUUUUCCUUUUCUAUCUCCCUGGACUUUACCAUUACUCAAUCUGAUAUGUUCUCAAGCUCAUAUUUACUAAAGAGAAUGGCAUCUUUUGAGCAUAUUCCUUAGUAUAUAGCUCAUCUGUGUUGCAUAUAGUCCUACUUUUAGCUAUUUGAGGAAAGUUCCAUAGUGGCUGUACCACUUUAUAUCCCCUUAAAGGAAUUAAUAAGAAUUAUCUAUUCUCUGCGCCCUGCCAGUAUUUAUAGUUAUUUGUUUUAUUAUGGUUGAAAUUAGAUAAAGUCCCAGGGAGUUUUCAUUUUCAUUUCAAUGAUGGCCAAGUAUAUUGAACACAUUUUAAAUUAUUUGUCAUCUAUUUGCUUUUAAUCUUUUGAGAACUCACUGUGCAUUUCUUAGUACAAUUGUUCAUGCCAUUGUUAUGGUUCCUGUGAAGAUGAUAAAACAUCAUCAUGAAAAAAAUCCUUUGUGAGGAAAGGAUUUAUGUCACCUUACAAUUCUAGAUCAUACUCAAGUACUGAAGGAAGUCAGGGCGGGAACUCAAGGAAGGAGCCUGGAAAAUAACUGAAGUAGAAGUCAUGAAGGAGGGCUGCUUACUGGCUUGCUCAACUUACUUUCUUUUAUCAAGCAAGAUGAUUUUCAAGGGAGACACCACUCCCAGUAUGCUGGGCUCACCCACAUAAACCAUUAAUCAAAAAAAAAAAAAAAUGCACCACAGACUUGCCUACAAGCAAACAAGCGAAUGCAUUAUUUCAACUGAGUUUCCUUUUCCCAGAUAAUUGUAGUUUUGGUUGUCAGUGGAAGAACCAAGGUCAUUCACUUUCUUGAUACUUAUGGUUUGUUUUGGUUUUGUUCAUAUUCUUGAUGUUUAGUUUUUAAAACUCUUUCUGUAUUCUGGAUAUUAAGCCUCUGACAGAUGUCAGGCAAAGAUUUUCUCUCAUUCUUCAUGCUGCCUCGUCACUUAAUUAGUCAUGGGUGCGGCUCUUGUCUACUUGAUCCUCUCAUCCUCAGUACCCAAGUAGCUUGGAUCUGUGCAGGCCCUGUGUAUAGAGCCACAGCUUCUGUGAGUUCAUAAGUGCAUCAUUCCUAUUGUAUCUCUUUCUUGGUGACACAGUUUCCUUGGUACCACCCAUCUUUUCUGCCUCUUACAAUAUUUCUGUCUCGUCUUCUGAACAGAGCACUAGGGAAAAUUUUUGGUGAAGACAAACUAUUUAGAAUUUGGAGUUUCAAGGUCUCUCACUCUGUGCAUUGCCCAUCUGUGGGUCUCUGUAUUAGUUCUCAUAUACUUCAGGGGGAAGCUUCUCUGAUGAUGGCUGAGCAAGACAAUGAUCAUAUUUGUGUUUUGGGGUCUGGGAUACCUCACUCAGGAUAAUUUCUUUCAGAUCCACUCAUUUACUCAUGAAUUUCCUGAUUUUGUAUUUUUAACAGCUUAGUAAUUAUUCAUUCUAUUGUGUAAAUGUACCACACUUUCCAUAUUCACUCAUCAGCUGAGGCACACCUGGGCUGCUUCCAAUUUCCGGCUAUGACAAAUAGAGCAGCAAUGAACAUGGACGGACAAAUCUUUCUGUAGUAAGAUGUAAAGUCCUUUGCAUAUAUAUGCCUAAGAAUGAUAGCGAGUUUAUCUCUGUCUCACCCAGUGCCACUGGGCUGGUUUCUCUCCUGCCUGUUGGGUCCUCACAUCUGUUUAUGAAAUAUCACUCUGAGGCUUAAUAUCAACUACAAUUGCUUGACCAUUGACUCAGACAUAUUACUGACUAGCUCUCUCUUAUAAAUUAACCCAUUUUUAUUAAUCUAUGUAUUGCCUCGAGGCUGUGGCUUAUCAGUAAUGAUCAGGCAUAUUACUCCUUCAGAGACUACAUGGCUUCUCCCUAACUCCACCUUCCUUCUCUCUGCAUCUUUGUUUGGAUUUCUCUCUUAGCUAUAUUCUGUCCGGCCAUUGGCAAAAACAGCUUUAUUCAUCUACCAAUAAAAGCAACAAAUAUUCACAGCAUACAGAAGGGCAUCCCACAUCAGAGAUAGAGGUACAUUGAGGUAUAUUGAUUUCUAUUGUCUUGAAGAACUAUUAUACUAAUUUCCACAGUGGCAGUACUCAGUGCAAUCCCCAGCAAUGAAUAAUCCCGCUUUCCCUGCAUCCUUGCCAGAACACACUAUCAUUUAUUUUAUUGAUCUUGGCCCCUCUGCCUUGUGUAAGAAGAAAUCUCUAUGUACUUUUGAUUUGCAGUUCACUUAUGAAUAAGGAAGUUGAAUAUUUUAAAGGGUGUUUCUCAGACAUUUGAGAGUUCAUUUUUUGAGAACUUUCUUUUUAUAACUAUAUACCACUUUCUAAUUGGGCAUUUGUUUUCUUUAUGUCUAAUAUUUAGUUAGUGAUGUCUAGUCUUUAGUUUUAAAGUUAGUUCUAUAUUUUAGAUCUUAGACCUUUAUUGGGUAUGUAAAGAUCUCUUCUCAUUCUGUAUCUUGUUGCUUUUUCUGAAUAAUGAUGCCCUUUGCCAUAUGAAAUCAUUUCAUUUUCAUGAGUUUCCAUUCAUUAUUUGUUGUUCUUUGCAUCAGUGUUUUCAGUGUUCUGUUCAGAAGUCUUUCCCUUUGUGAAUGAGUUCAAGACUAGUCCUCAUUUUCUCUUCUGACAGGUUCAAUGUAUCUGGCCUAAUGUUGAUAACUUUGACCCAUUUGGAGUUGAGUUUCAUGUAGGUGAAAAAUAAAGAUCCAUUCUUAUAUGCAUCCAA